Long non-coding RNA from Musa acuminata AAA Group (dessert banana), 3569 nucleotides. RefSeq lists it as uncharacterized. Lineage: Eukaryota; Viridiplantae; Streptophyta; Magnoliopsida; Zingiberales; Musaceae. The record is from RefSeq and is a predicted model, not a curated record. The transcript has 9 exons.
GAAAGAAAACUAAAAGAAGGGUUGAGUGGCUGAGUUAAUAGUUUAGUUAGCCAAUCUGUUCAAACAUUACUACUCUCUCUCUCUCUCAAUCACCAUUAUUAACAGAAGGAAGAAAGGCCAAAAUCUACUGUUGUAAUCAGAGAUCUGCAGAGGAAGGCAGCUGGGUUUAGGUUAUUUGGCCAGUGUUUCAGGUAGGAGAGUUUCAUCCAUCUUUGUUGGAAUCGAGGGUUGCAGAUGCAGGCAAUAGAUGCAUUUAUGUAUCUAAUAAUCAUCAGAAUGCUUUAUAUCUCAAAUGGGGACAUCUGCAUAUGGAGAUAGGAGGGUUUCAUCCAUCUUUGGUUGAAUCAAGGGGGGGGUCUGCUUGCCUGCAAUCAGAAUUGCCUAUGUUGAAUGGUUGCAGACUAUGGUUAAUGAUGUAAGUAGCAGUUGGAUGUCUGCAACAUGUGAAGGAAAGGGAGGAGGGAUAUGUGCAUCUCCUUUUUGGAUUGUGACCUACCCUGCAUGCCAGGCUUGUAGCAUUUUAGAUCACAAGUAAUGUUGCAGUUUAUAGGGGGUUUCAUUACACAAGUAGAAGCUGUAUAACUUGCAGUGACCAAACAACCCAAAAUGAAUAUGGAGAAUUUUCCGAUCAACCUCGGAUAUCAGAGUCUGAUUUCUUUUUUGUACAUGUCGGAACUCUGGCUCGGUGAAAAAUUGCUGUACAUGAGAUGCAAUGAUUUCAUUUCCUGUAUUGAGCUAUUGGAGUUAUCAAUUGAUUUUUCUGAGCUUCUUAUUUGAAAGAAACACAACAAUUUUGAGAGUGAUCAGACCUCCAAAUUCAUUUCAAAAGAGAUUAUGUCUGCUAAAACAAUCGACUAUUAAGUCUUGACCUUUUCUUGGUUUGAAGGGCAAUUUGGAGGAGCCUCCGUCAAAAAAGAGGAGAAAUCAAGAAGGAGAUACAGAAAAAUCACACCUGCCUGAAAUGUCUCAGAUAACAGAUAAUAGAGAAAGUUACACAAUCUUUAGUCUUAACUAUUUAGGUAUAUUUAUUGUACAUAAGAUCCGAAAAAAAAGGAAAAGAUAGGAAGAAGGUGAGGGAACAGGACACACAAACAAAUCUAUCUUGACCUAGAUAUCUUACAUUCUUGGUGUUGUCACGAGGCGGUAUUGGUACUUAAUAGGAUAUCUGCUUUCUUCGUGUCACAGGACUUUUGCAUCGUAUCACCAGCCUCCCUAGGCCUGGACCUGCAACUAGCUUUCUUUGCCAUUUCUUCUCUACAAGCAUAUGCAGUUACAGAGAAGAGUUGGAGAAAGACAAGAGCCAUACUUGUGUAGAAACUGGGGUGUGCAUGAGUGAGGGGUGCGGGUUGCUCCCAAACACAAAGUACUGCAUGUUCUCCUCAGCAAGAUCUCUAAGUCUGUCAAGUUCUGGCAGUAUGACCAUUGCAAGAUCUGGUCGAUCCUUCCGUCUGAGCUCUGCACACUUCAGUGCCAACUUGGCUAACCUUAAUGCUUCCUCAACUGGCCAAUCUGGUACUGAUUGGUCCAACAUCUCUGUGAACGUUCCUCUCUCAAUUGCACGCUCCAUAUAGUGUGCCAACCCCAUGGGAGAUUUGCUAGUGAUAAUUUGCAACAAUAUGAUUCCAAGAGAGUAUAUAUCAGACUUUACACCGAGCAUGCCAGUUUGCUGAUACUCCGGGUCGAUAUAGCAGAAUGUGCCAGCAGUGGCUGUCAUGCAAUACUGGGUGGUAUGGUCUGCUGCAGUUGGUGGAACCAACCGGGCAAGUCCAACAUCGCUGAUCUUGCUGACGUAAUUCCUGUCAAGGAGGAUGUUGGCAGGCUUAAGGUCUCUGUGAACCAGUGGCUCUGGUUUAGUCUGGUGUAGAAAGAGGAGGCCUGUGCCAAUCUCUGCAGCAAUCCGGAACCUAUGCUGCCAAGGAAUGGGUGGUGUAUUCCCUCGCCUGAAUAAGCAAUCUUCCAAGCUUCCAUUUGCCAUGUACUCAUACACAAGGCAGCCAUGUUCUGGGCAAGCGCCCAGCAGUAGAACCAUAUUUGGAUGUCGGAUGCAGCAUAAUAUUUCAACCUGUGUAUGGGAGAUGAUACAAUAAAAAUGUUACACAUAUACACCUAUAUGACUCGAUGUGCUAAUUGCUGCAUUUUGCAUAGAUAGUGCUUGCUCUGAAUCAUCUGGACGCAGAACCUUAAUGGCAACGGGCGUAUGAUCCAGAUAACCUCUGUAAACAGGUCCAUAACCACCUUCUCCAAUUUUCCUGUCCUGUGCAUAAUGCGUUGCAGCUCCAUUGCCUGCAGCAAAGGCAUCGUCUGAAAACAAGUUCAAUCUUUGUGACAGCAAUGGAUAAAUUACCUUCUGUUUAGCUGUCAGUGCUUCUCUGCGUGCUGUGCUGUACAUGUCCAUGGUUUGCUUGAGUUCUAAUCUCAGCCUGUUCAGCUUAGCUUCAACAUCUUCCUGAAAUUUCAAAGAUUCCGUGGAGCAAAUGCAGCUUCACUUGGCAUUAGGAAAUUCCGAUCUUCAGGAACAGAAGUAGCAAAAAACUUGUGUUAACAGGGGAAAAGAAGAGACUGCAAUGGUACCUAUACUGAUGGCAACACAGACCUUUCAUGUCAUUCUUGUGACUAUGGUCCAGUGAGUCAGGUCUAACACUUGAAAGGCCUUGGAUUUGCUUCUGGAGAAGAGAGAAGGCUGGAGCUGGCCGGACGGCAUUCUUCACGGAGGAUACCUUCCCCUUAUGGAUGAGGUAGACAGUACAGAAAUCAGGCACACCUUUGUAGAUAUUGGUACUGAUGUCUGAGUUUCUGAAUGAUCUGAGGAAAAUAUGACAGAGUUGGUGUUGAAAGACAUAUUUUUCAGCCCAAACAGAUUUCGACUUUAGUUGUAGAAGUGCUCAAGUGAUUUAAGAUCACCUGACAAAUCCACCUCUUGAUGAUGAUGAACCAACCACUAGCUUUUCAAUUGCAGCAUCAGCAACGAACCCUAUGAUCGCUUUGGCAACAUCAGUGUCUUCAAGUAUGACAUCUUUGUUAUAUACCUGUUGAGGAAUACUCAAAUUCGAUAUCCGUAAGUUAGUGCAUGAAUUGGGUGAUCAGCUGGAAUCUGUUCAAAGAAGGAAGCAGAAGAAGAAAUUGUCCAUGCUGUGGAUUUUCUCGAGUCGGUGACAAUGUCAACUACCCUUCACCAGGGCUUCCUCAAUGAGGAAAGGACCAGCAGGUUCAUCAUCAUUUGUGGGGCUAUGGAAGUGGUCUUAACAUUGAAAUUUUUGGAUGUAACCGCAAGGUAUCUUCAUCGAUCCUAAACUCAUCACCUUCUCGAAAAGGAACAGCAGAUUCGUCACCACAUUCGAAAAAGGGAGUCAUUAUGCAUCACCGAGCAGGUAUCACCAAGCCUCAGACACAAUUAUUCAAACAGCAUCGAAAAGGGACAAAAACGUCCCUUGCAUCAUCUCCAUACCCCGCUGCAAUGCAUCAAAAAGAGAAGGGAGAGUCGUUACAACAAAGAUUUCAUGAAGACAAGGCUGGAUCAAACGAGAACCAGGGGCAAGUCCGCUUACACUUGGUGUUGACAUGGAUGAGGG